RNAcentral lists this ribosomal RNA (274 nucleotides) under uncultured bacterium. RNAcentral's name for it is "partial 16S ribosomal RNA". It matches the Rfam family "Bacterial small subunit ribosomal RNA", at positions 523 to 796 of the family's 1533-position model. The record is from RNAcentral.
AUACGGAGGGGGUUAGCGUUGUUCGGAAUUACUGGGCGUAAAGCGCGCGUAGGCGGCUACUUAAGUCAGAUGUGAAAUCCCCGGGCUCAACCUGGGAACUGCAUCUGAUACUGGGUAGCUAGAGUUUAGGAGAGGGAAGUAGAAUUUCAGGUGUAGCGGUGAAAUGCAUAGAGAUCUGAAGGAAUACCAGUGGCGAAGGCGGCUUCCUGGCCUAAAACUGACGCUGAGGUGCGAAAGCGUGGGUAGCAAACGGGAUUAGAAACCCCGGUAGUCC